GGAGUCGGACAGAGGCGGGCCUGCUGCCACCAGGAUCAGGUCGUCCUCGAGUUUGGCUGGCAUCACCUCGUCGCCCUGCAGGGAACGAAUGAAAAUGAAGCGCACUCAGAGCCACAGCCAGUCGUAUCCGUACAUCCUACUUCUCAGACCUGGUAGCUGCCAACACUUAGCCGCCACGGGGAUCCUAGAAGGUCCCACAGACGCUGCUGCUCUUUCCGACCCUCCGCCUUCAACAUGUCAUCACAUCAGUGCUUCUCAUUAUGCCGCCUACAGCCGUUCAUUGGACUGAGAAGUUCUUCCCAUGAUGAGUCGCAGAUCCACCAGGUGAAACCCUGGAAAUACCACCAUUCAUUUCUUAAAAGAAAAAAAGAAACUAAUUUCAUUCUUUUUCCCCCAGUAUAUCAUACAGUCUCUUUUUCACCAAAUCUGUCGCUAUGUACUUUGUGUCUUAAACUGGUAAUUAGCGCAAAUGUUGCACCAUGGUAGUGCAAGGUCACACACACACACACACACACACACAUUGACUGUUCCCUAUUCGUGUCUCAGUUCAUUAGUCAGGCAGUUAUUACGGGUUCAUUUCUUCGUCAGAGAAAUGCUGCUUAGACUCUAGGAGCAAACGUUUCCUCCCGUUGCUACAGUAACAGUGGAGCUGAGCUGACACCAGCAUUCCUGGAAGCUUCAUUAUGCUGAUCCGAAGUGUUUUGUCACUAUUCACAAAAAUGUACUUUUUAAUCACCAUUCGUUCGAAAAUCAAGUAUGUACCCAGAGAACCGGUCAUUACCGGUCAAGACUCCCUCAUCAUGCUGGUAUAACAUAUUUGAAAAUCUUGUGUCGCAAUUCUUACCCUCGCAGUAGCGCACACGUUUUAGUCGAUCUACUGCAUGAAAUUUUGCAAAUUCAUGCUGAACUGUGUCAUUGUAACGUAAAACGUGGGAA
Molecule: long non-coding RNA, 936 nt
Organism: Xiphophorus couchianus (Monterrey platyfish)
Lineage: Eukaryota; Metazoa; Chordata; Actinopteri; Cyprinodontiformes; Poeciliidae
Exons: 3
Source: RefSeq, a predicted model, not a curated record